This 405-nucleotide ribosomal RNA is filed under the name uncultured bacterium. RNAcentral's name for it is "partial 16S ribosomal RNA". It matches the Rfam family "Bacterial small subunit ribosomal RNA", at positions 28 to 526 of the family's 1533-position model. The record is from RNAcentral.
GAUGAACGCUGACAGAAUGCUUAACACAUGCAAGUCAACUUGUGGCGGACGGGUGAGUAACGCGUAAAGAAGUUGCCUCACAGGAAGGGACAACAUUUGGAAACGAAUGCUAAUAACAAAGACUGUGAGAGAGCGUUGCGUCCCAUUAGCUAGUUGGAGAGGUAACGGCUCACCAAGGCGAGGAUGGGUAGCCGGCCUGAGAGGGUGAUCGGCCACCAGGGGACUGGGACAUGGCCCUUACGCAUACGGGAGGCAGGAGUGGGGAAUAGUGGACAAUGGACCGAAGUCUGAUCCAGCACUUCUGUGUGUACGAUGAAGUUUUCGGAAUGUAAAGUGCUUUCAGUUGGGAAGCGUUACCAACAGAAGAAGUGACGGCUAACUACGUGCAAGCCGCCGCGGUAAUUC